AGCGAACGUUUGCGGCGGGCUUAACACAUGCAAGUUGAACGGGCUGUUCCUUCGGGGGCAGUCAGUGGCGCACGGGUGCGUAACACGUAGGUAAUCAACCCUCUGGUUGGGGAUAACACUUCGAAAGGAGUGCUAAUACCCGGUAUGGCGCAGCGGUCUUCGGAUCGCGGCGAGAAAGACCCGCAAGGGUUGCCAGAGGACGAGCCUGCGGCCCAUCAGCUAGUUGGCGAGGUAACGGCUCACCAGGGCGAAGACGGGUAGCUGGUCUGAGAGGAUGAUCAGCCACACUGGAACUGAGACACGGUCCAGACUCCUACGGGAGGCAGCAGUGGGGAAUAUUGCGCAAUGGGCGAAAGCCUGACGCAGCCACGCCGCGUGAGCGAUGAAGGCCUCGGGUCGUAAAGACUCUGUGGGAGGAGAAGAAUAAAGACCUGUGAAGAGCAGGCCUUGACGGUAGUCUCCUUAGCAAGCACCGGCUAACUCCGU
RNAcentral lists this ribosomal RNA (486 nucleotides) under uncultured bacterium. RNAcentral's name for it is "bacterial SSU rRNA". It matches the Rfam family "Bacterial small subunit ribosomal RNA", at positions 29 to 506 of the family's 1533-position model. The record is from RNAcentral.